UGCUAUCAAUAUUUUCUGAAACCUUCUAGAGUCUCCUUAGUCUGGUUGUCUUGGUCUCCGUCGCUCCCUUUCUUGAUGAGUAUGGCUUGGAUUUGUCCCCAAUAGGUAAUGUCCUUCUCCUUUUCUUAGCGCUUCUUUAGCAAGAAAAUGAGCAUACUUGUUCUCUGCUUUAGGAAAGAAAUGGAACCUGAUUUCCUGAAAAAAGGCUUUUUUGCUCUUGAUGUCUCUGAUGAUUGUCCCUGUAAUCGAUUUAUCAUGGUUUGUGGUUUGACAUUUCUUUAUCACUGUUCUUGAGUCUCCUAUUAUUUCCAGAAUAUUUAGACCCAUUGUAAUCCUAAUUGAAUCGCCUGUAAUUUUGCAUGCACCUCCGCCGCAAUGGGGACAGUAUGUCAAAGUGAAUAACUGACUUAGAAACCAUGAUGUCCCCUCCCGUAUCGCAAACAACCAGACUCGAAGCAGAUUUGGAGGAUCUUUUGUCAAAAGCCACGUCAAAGUAGACUGUCGCCCUCAUACUUCUUUCAAUCUGUUUGUGGCCUUUAUCAAUGUUAAGAGUAAGUUUUUUUUUUCAUGCGCUCUGUUUAACUCUGCUAUAAAACUAAUAACUUGUUUCCAAAUGUCCCUGCUUGUUGUAAUCUUCCUUUUGUGGAUGAACCUAUUUUUAUGAGUCUAGGUUGACCAUAACCCACAGAAAAAUAGGCGACACUGCUCUUUGUUUCCUUGACUGAAAACCUAGGUAAGCCACUCUCACAGGCUUUGAGUGUCAUUAUUACAUACCCAUGAGAAAUUUAAAUUUGUCCAUACUUCUGUUGUUGUAGGACAAUGCCGAAAAAUGUGAUUGCUAUCUUCAUCGGAGUUGUGAAAACGGGGACAAAGAUUUUCCAAUACAACUUUUUUGUUCUUUAGAUUAGAUAGAGUAGGAAUAUAAUUCCAUGAUAUUCUCCAAAUUGUAAUUUUAAUCUUUGGGGGAAGCUGUAAAUUCCAUAAUUUUCUGUAGAAGUUUCUAAUCUCGGCCUGUAUAAAAUUAUUUUUAGGACCCGAAUUAGUCUUUUAUAAUAGUUUAUAGGCAUUUCUGACUGAAAAUUCUCCUGAUGGUUCUCCUCUCUAUACUUGGAAGUCAUCGUAGAUUGUCUCUGGCAAGAGGAUUUGCAGAAUUUUCUUAGCAAUAUUCUCAUUGAAUGUACUAAAAAUCAAAUAUGUAUUUCACGUUCUAUUAUUAGCAUUUAUCAAGUCUGAUACUAACUU
This 1242-nucleotide long non-coding RNA is filed under the name Gossypium barbadense (sea-island cotton). Its description in RNAcentral is "long non-coding RNA (GBAR_LNC007449)". Lineage: Eukaryota; Viridiplantae; Streptophyta; Magnoliopsida; Malvales; Malvaceae. The record is from RNAcentral.